Molecule: small nuclear RNA, 102 nt
Organism: Moschus moschiferus (Siberian musk deer)
Lineage: Eukaryota; Metazoa; Chordata; Mammalia; Artiodactyla; Moschidae
Source: Ensembl
GUACUUGCUUCAGCAGCACAUAUACUAAAAUUGGAAUGAUACAGAGAUUAGCAUGCCCCGCAAAAAGAUGACAUCUAAAUUCAUGAAGCAUUCCAUACACAA